This 125-nucleotide transfer RNA is filed under the name Ascodesmis nigricans. It matches the Rfam family "tRNA". Rfam says of the family: Transfer RNA (tRNA) molecules are approximately 80 nucleotides in length. Their secondary structure includes four short double-helical elements and three loops (D, anti-codon, and T loops). Further hydrogen bonds mediate the characteristic L-shaped molecular structure. tRNAs have two regions of fundamental functional importance: the anti-codon, which is responsible for specific mRNA codon recognition, and the 3' end, to which the tRNAs corresponding amino acid is attached (by aminoacyl-tRNA synthetases). tRNAs cope with the degeneracy of the genetic code in two manners: having more than one tRNA (with a specific anti-codon) for a particular amino acid; and 'wobble' base-pairing, i.e. permitting non-standard base-pairing at the 3rd anti-codon position. The record is from Rfam by way of RNAcentral. Lineage: Eukaryota; Fungi; Ascomycota; Pezizomycetes; Pezizales; Ascodesmidaceae.
GGCAGGAUGGCCGAGUUGGUUAUGGCGCCAGGUUAAGGUCACCUUAAUAAGGUUGUAUACUGAAGGACACAGCUUAAUCUCCUGGUUCGGGAAACUGAGCGUGGGUUCAAGUCCCACUCCUGUCA